CAGUAAAUCUAUUUCAGAAUUGCUAAGAUGAAUAAGUUUUUCCAAUAAGCAUUUGCUUUGUUAUUCAAAACCCUGAGAAGUCUAAAUGAUUGACUGUCCACGAACUGACCUCAUGUUUUGUUAAAAGAAAGAGAAAUCUUUUAUUUUCAUCAAGCUUGAUUAGGAAGUAACAAAUAAAAAAAGAACUAUUUCAGCCAAAUCUAAUAACAAGUAUAGGUCCGGAGAUUGUUUGUAGAAUUCUAUAUAACAAACCCCUGCACAAUAAUUUGGUAUAAAUCAAUUUAAACGGGCAGUAGAAAUUUACAGCAG
Molecule: long non-coding RNA, 309 nt
Filed under: Mytilus galloprovincialis (Mediterranean mussel)
Lineage: Eukaryota; Metazoa; Mollusca; Bivalvia; Mytilida; Mytilidae
Source: RNAcentral